AUACGGAGGGUGCAAGCGUUAAUCGGAAUUACUGGGCGUAAAGCGUACGUAGGCGGUUCGUUAAGUUAGAUGUGAAAGCCCCGGGCUUAACCUGGGAACUGCAUUUAAGACUGGCGAACUAGAGUUGAGUAGAGGGGAGUGGAAUUUCAGGUGUAGCGGUGAAAUGCGUAGAGAUCUGAAGGAACACCAGUGGCGAAGGCGACUCCCUGGACUCGAACUGACGCUGAGGUACGAAAGCGUGCGUAGCAAACGGGAUUAGAUACCCCAGUAGUCC
RNAcentral lists this ribosomal RNA (274 nucleotides) under uncultured bacterium. Its description in RNAcentral is "partial 16S ribosomal RNA". It matches the Rfam family "Bacterial small subunit ribosomal RNA", at positions 523 to 796 of the family's 1533-position model. The record is from RNAcentral.